This 1069-nucleotide ribosomal RNA is filed under the name Pseudobagrus medianalis. Its description in RNAcentral is "12S ribosomal RNA". The stretch from base 117 to 1069 matches the Rfam family "Bacterial small subunit ribosomal RNA". Lineage: Eukaryota; Metazoa; Chordata; Actinopteri; Siluriformes; Bagridae. The record is from RNAcentral.
CAAAGGCUUGGUCCUGACUUUACUAUCAGCUUUAACUCAAUUUAUACAUGCAAGUAUCCGCAUCCCUGUGAGAAUGCCCUCAAUCCUCUGCCCGAGAACGAGGAGCAGGCAUCAGGCACAAUUAACUCCUGCCCAAGACGUGGCUAGCUUACUCAUUUAUACAUGCAAGUAUCCGCAUCCCUGUGAGAAUGCCCUCAAUCCUCUGCCCGAGAACGAGGAGCAGGCAUCAGGCACAAUUAACUCCUGCCCAAGACGCCUUGCUAAGCCACACCCCCAAGGGAUUUCAGCAGUAAUAAAUAUUAAGCCAUAAGUGCAAACUUGACUUAGUUAGAGUUAAAAGGGCCGGUAAAAUUCGUGCCAGCCACCGCGGUUAUACGAAAGACCCUAGUUGAUAAACACGGCGUAAAGGGUGGUUAAGGAAAACAACUAAUAAAGCUAAAGACCCUCUAAGCUGUCAUACGCAUCCCGAGAGCACGAAACCCAAACACGAAAGUAGCUUUAAACAUUAUUACCUGACCCCACGAAAGCUAAGAAACAAACUGGGAUUAGAUACCCCACUAUGCUUAGCUAUAAACCUAGAUGUCCCCUUACACAAACAUCCGCCUGGGUACUACGAGCAUAGCUUAAAACCCAAAGGACUUGGCGGUGUCUCAGACCCACCUAGAGGAGCCUGUUCUAGAACCGAUAACCCCCGUUAAACCUCACCACUUCUUGUUUUCCCCGCCUAUAUACCGCCGUCGUCAGCUUACCCUGUGAAGGUUUAAUAGUAAGCAAAAUGGGCCCGCCCAAAAACGUCAGGUCGAGGUGUAGCGUACGAAGUGGGAAGAAAUGGGCUACAUUUUCUAUACACAUAGAAUAUUACGAACGACAUAUUGAAAUAAAUGUCUGAAGGUGGAUUUAGCAGUAAAAAACAAACAGAGUGUCCUUUUGAAUUAGGCUCUGAGACGCGCACACACCGCCCGUCACUCUCCCCACAUUUAUAAUUACCCAAUAUAUAAUAAAACACAUAACUACACGGGGAGGCAAGUCGUAACAUGGUAAGUGUACCGGAAGGUGCACUUGGAACAAU